Molecule: long non-coding RNA, 6588 nt
Filed under: Homo sapiens (human)
Lineage: Eukaryota; Metazoa; Chordata; Mammalia; Primates; Hominidae
Description: HSALNT0150215
Source: RNAcentral
AGCAGAAAGUAAACUAGAGAGCACAAAACACAAAGUCACACUCUUGUAUAACAUACACUCAGUAAAAAGGAGGCCCACUAGAGCAGGGUUUCUCAACCUGGCACUAUUGCAUUUGGGGCUGUCUGAGUCUUGCUGUGGGGGCUGCCUGUGCAUUGUGGGGUAUUAGCAGCAUCUCUGAAUUCUACUCAGUAGAUACCAGUAGCCCCCCCACAACCAAAAAUGUCUCUGGACAUUGCCAAAUGUCUCCUGAGGUUGGGGGAGUGAGAAUCACUGCCCCACAGUUACAUCCUGGCAGAGUUAAGCAAUGAAACAAAAUCACUGGCCAUUAAUAAUACUAUAUGAUUUUCAAUUAAGAGCUUAUUUACACACCAAGUACCUUAGAAACCUGAUCUCAUCCCAUCCUCAUCAAAACCUUAUGGUGUGUACAAGCUGGAAUGAUGCCUAUUUUAUAGGUUAGGGCACUGAGGCACAAAGAGUUUAGUGGAUGCCUAGCUGCACAGUAGUGACCGAUAGAGCAGGCAUUUGAAGCCUGCCCUGCCAUCUUAGUCAGUGCACCGAGAUAUGAAGAGCAUUUUUAAAGUGUGCUAGGCUCUUUCAUUUUCAUUACAUGUCCACUGAUAUGGUUUGACUCUGUGUCCCCACCGAAAUCUCAUGUCGAAAUGCAAUCCCCACAUGUUGGAGGAGGGACCUGGUGGGAAGUGAUUGGAUCAUGGAGGUGGAUUUCCCUCCUACUGUUCUCGUGAUAGUGAGUGAGUUCUCAUGAGAUCCAAUGGUUUAAAAGUGUGUGGCACUUCCUCCCUUCACUCUCUCUCUCUCUCCGGCCACCAUGUGAAGAUAUGCGUGCUUCCCCUUCACCCUUCUGCCAUGAUUUCAGGACCUGGGAGAGAAAAAAGCUACCAGCAACAUUCAGACUGAGAGAGGCCAAAAUACUAAUUCAUAAUUAGCCUGGUACAUAUGAAGGAUCAAAAAGAACAGGACUGUAUGUCUGACCUCUGACAGGCCCUACCACCAUAGUAGAGACUCAGUAUGUAUACUUAAUGAAGGAAUAAUGAAUACAUCAGCAAGAGAAAUAAGAGUGACCAUAUGUUCCUUAAGAGAAGCAAAGAGCAGCUCCUGUUCCUGGAUCUUAAGAAAAAUCAAGAAACCAAGUUGAGAAACUAAGAAAAAAAGAAAAACUGUUUACUUCUCCCAUAAUUAUUAAAGACUAACAAUCAACGUGGAGGCAUUACUGGUUAGAAGGAGUUCACUGAUGUCUAGUUGAAAGCAAGACAUUUGGUGGCUGGAGGUUAAGGCCAACAUUUCCAGGAACCUAAACAAGACAUAGAGGAGAAAAGCAAGAACCAUCUCAUCAGUCAGUCUUGCUAUAACUGUUGUCUUGUUAUGAACAGUUGCUCAUGGCCCUGUCUGCUGCUACUGGUUACGGUUCUUUGCAAAUACGUGAAGAGAGGAAAUGAAAGAAGAAGAAGAUGUGAAUAUUAUCGAAGUGGUCUCCCUUGGGAAAUCAAAAAACUGUUCUAAAAUCUGAAUUAGUAAAAGCAAUAUUGAUUUCAAUAGAAAAAAACUAAAAUUAUUAAAAAAGGAAAUGAGCUUAUAUGAAGCUACAUGUAUCCUAAUGCCUGGCUUGAAUAUAGUUUUGGAUGCAUUCUUAAUAAAUGAGAAAACAUCAAUGUGAAAUAAAAGCAGCAGUUUUUGUCACAAAACAAAGAUCGAGACUGUUGGAUAAGAUGGCUAGUGCUUUGUGUUUUAAAAUUCAGUAGAAAAUUCAGAAAUAAAGCCAAAUACUUACAGCCAGCUAAUCUUUGACAAAGCAUACAAGAACAUAAAUUGGGGAAAGGAUACCCUAUUCAACAAAUGGUGCUGGAAAAGCUGGCAAGCCACAUGUAGAAGAAUGAAACUAGAUCCUCAUCUCUCACCUUAUACAAAAAUCAACUCAAGAUGGAUCAAAGACGUAAAUCUAAGAGCUGAAACUAUAAGAAAUUCUAAAAGAUAACAUUGUUUUUUCCCUUUUUUCUUCUUCUGUUUUUUUUUUUCUUUUUCUUUUUCUUUUUUUUGGAAAGGGAGUUUGCGCUGUCGCCCCAAGCUGGAGUGCAAUGGAGCGAACAAGGAUCACUGCAACCUCUACCUCCUGCGUUCAAGCGAUUCUCCUGCCUCAGCCUCCUGAUUAGCUGGGAUUACAGGCGUCUGCCACCACGCCCAGCUAAUUUUUGUACUUUUAGUAGAGAUGGGGUUUGACCAUGUUGGCCAGGCUAGUUUUGUACUCCUGACCUCAAGUGCUGGGAUUAUAGGCAUGCGCCACAACGCCCAGCCUUGAAAAGAUAACAUUGGAAAAACUCUUCUGGACAUUGGCUUAGGCAAAUUCAUGACAAAGACCCCAAAAGCAAAUGCAACAAAGACAAAAAUAAAUAAAUUGAAUAAAUUAGAGCUAAUUAAACUGAAAAGCUUCUGCAGAGCAAAAGAAAUAAUCAGCACAUUAAAGAGAAAACCCACAGAGUGGAAGAAAAUAUUCACAAAGUAUGCAUCUGACAAAGGACUAGUAUCCAGAAUCUACAAGAAACUCAAACAAAUCAGCAAGAAAAUGACAAUUCCAUCAAAAAGUGGGCAAAAGACAUGAACAGCCAUUUUUCAAAAGAAGAUAUACAAACAGCCAACAAAUGAAUGAGAAAUGUUCAACAUCAGUGAAAUACAAAUUAAAACCACGAUGAGAUACCACGUAACUCCUGCAAGAAUGGCUAUAAUUCAAAAGUUAAAACCAUAGAUGUUGGUGUGGAUGUGAUGAAAAGGGAACACUUACACACUGCUGGUGUGAAUGUAAAUUAGUACAACCUCUAUGAAAAACAGUAUGGUGAUUCCUUAAAGAACUGAAAGUAGAUCUACCAUUUGAUCCAGCAAUCCCACUACUGGGUAUCUACCCAAAGGAAAAGAAGUCAUUACAUGAAAAAGACACAUGUACACGCAUGUUUAUAGCAGCACAAUUCACAGUUGCAAAGAUAUGGAACCGGCCUAAAUGCCCAUCAACCAAUGAGUGGAUAAAGAAAAUGUGUAUAUAUACAACAUGGAAUACUACUAGGCCAUAAAAAAGAACGAAAUAAUUUCUUUUGCAGCAACUUGGAUGGAGCUGGAGGCCAUUAUUCUAAAUGAGGUAACCCAGGAAUAAAAAACCAAAUGCCGCAUGUUCUCACUUAUCAGUGGGAGCUAAGCUGUGAGGACACAAACACAUACAAAGUGAUAUAAUGGACUUUGAUGACUGCAGGGUGGGGAGCUGGGAGUGGGGUGAGGGAUAAAAGAUUACAUAUUGAGUGGGUACAGUGUACACUGCUUUAGUGACAGGUGCACUAAAAUCUCAGAAUUCACCACUAAAGAACUCAUCCAUGUAACCAAAAACCACCUGUACCCCCAAAACUAUUAAAAUUUUUAAAAAUAAAAAAGUUAACUUCUAAACAUUAAAUAUACAUAAUAUAAAGUUUACAUUUUAAAAUUAUUUUUAUUCAGCAAUUGUUUUGUUUUAACACCCCUUCUUUCAAUGUUUUCUACUAUAAAAUGUCAAUGUCAGUUAAAGAUCAUUUUAACAUAUCAUUUUAAAACAUAUCAUUUUGUCCCAAUAUAUUGAUUUAUAAUAAUAAUUUUAAAUCAACUUUCUGUAAAAUCUUAUAGUAGAAAAAUGAUUCAUAGUUUAAUAUUAUGGUCACUUGUUACUAAUUAAAAAUAUGUAAAUAUGUAUUCUUAAAAAUAGAGAAUAAUACCAUUUCAGGAAUUCUGAUUAUUUGUUCUGAAAUUUCAAAGAUUACUAUCUGCUGGGAAUUUGGAAACCCUAUAAUAAUCUAAACCCAGCGACAGUGAAAACCAGGAGGCAGAUGGAGCCCAAAGGAAGAGAUGGAAGGGUCACUCUUGUGUGGCACCUUCCUAUCCUGGCCAGGCGGCAGUGCCUGGGGUAGUCGAAGGGAGCAGCAGUGAGGAUGAGACCUUCAAUUAGAGAAAGGACAAGAAGAGAACGUGGGAAGACCCACACUCGGGCCCACUUUGGUUAAUCCUCCUUAGUUUCCUUGUAAACUAUUAAGGCAGUUAAAUUUUCAACUGCUUGAAUUUACCUAUUUCAAAGAUUCAGCUUUUCACUUGACUUUGAUUGGUCACCAAGAAAAUAUAAGUAUUAUAGCCAUGUUAUUUUCAAAGAGGAAAGCAUGCCAGUCACUAGAACAGUGAGUGGUAUGUAGCAGGCACUCAGAAAACAUGUGUGAUAUGGGUUGAUCUGAGUCCCUGCCCAAAUUUCUUGUCGAAUUGUAAUCCCCAAUGUUGGAGGUGGGUCUGGUGGAAGGUGGUUGGAUCAUGGGGACAGAUUUCUGCCUUUGGUGCUGUUCUCAUGGUAGAGUUUUCAUGAGAACUGAUUGUUUAAAAGUGUGUAGCACCUCCCUCUCUCUCUCUGGCAUCUGCCCUGGCCAUGUAAUAUGUGCCAGCUUCCCCUUCACCUUUCACUGUUAUUGUAUGUUUCCUGAGGCCUCCCCGGAAAUGGAGCAGAUGCCAGAACCAUGCCUCUUGUACAGCCUGCAGAUCCAUGAACCAAUUAAACCUCUUUUCUUUAUAAAUUACCCAGUGUCAGGUAUUUCUUUAUAGCAAUGCAAGAAGGACUAAUACAAUGUGUUAAACUAAUUACUGGAUAAUGCAAUUCACAGAGGAACAGAGAAUCCUUUUACUUGGGACUGGCCAGUUUCCUGUAAGUCAAAAUUAUGCAAAUCCAAUCAAAUUUUCCAUAAAGAAAAUAUUGUGAUUGAAUUUUAGAUUCUUUAUCAUAACCUUGAAAUCCAUACAACCUCUGUAAAAUUUUAAAAGAUUGUGUCUUUUUUUAGCUUCAAUGAAUUGGAGAGUGAAGCAUCUGCUUUAAUGGGAAAUUUCAAAUUUCUUCAGCAAUAUCGUGAGAAUAAUCUCAGCAGAAGUCAAUAGGAGACUCAGAAGCAUAAGAAUACCUCCUAGAAUUUAAAUAUAAGAAAAACAAAUUGAAGUUAAUAGUCUUAUUUUCUCAUUGUAAAGUUGCCUGCUCAUCUUACUGUGUAUAAAAUUGGGAUCCAGUUAUUCAAAAUCAGUGUGUUUUGUGUGUAUUACUCAGCAGAGUAUUUACCAGGUUUACAAGUGUAGAUCACACAUCUAAGUCAAGGCCUGCCUUAUCACUUCUGGUCACCAACUAAUCCUUAAACUUUUUUUAUUCUAAAAAUAAUUGGGAGUAAAACAUCAACAAGUUAGCUGGACAACGUGUUUAAAGCUUUAAAACCUGCCUUGAAAACUGUGAUAGAUCAGUUUGAAUGCCAGGACUGUCGAUUCAAAGUGCCAAAUGUCUGCUAUAAUAAUUCCUAGCACAUAGGGAGUUCUAUGAGCCAGACUCUGCAUCUCAAGCUCUUCAGAGAUUUUAACUCAACCACUUUUCACAAAACCUUGUUUUUUGUGGAAGAAGUGCAAUUACCUUCCAUAUUUUACAGGGGAGGACACUAAGUAUCAGGGACAUGCAUUUUUUCCAGGCCCCAUGGCUAACACAUGGCAAAGCUAGGUCAACUUGGACGUUGGCCUUCAGAGUCAUUGAACCAUAACCCCUCCCCUCCUGCCUGGACAGCCCCAGAGCCGGCACUGCUGAGUCACAGUGACAAGACUUACCCUCUGGCCUUGAACAGCUCAAACUCUAAUGGAGUAAAUAGAUAAAUAAGCCACUGUGAUGAUAAUAAUAAUAAUAAAAAGUUAAAAAUGGCAAGAUAAGACCAUGAAGCAUGUGGUGUAACAAUUCAGGGAGAUGCCAUAGCUUAGCAGAUAAGAGCACAGACUCAGGACUGAGAUGAGUCUCACUCCAGUGCCAGCUGCAGAGGCUCAGCUGCAUCAGUCUCUCUGCUCUUCAGGGGUCUUAGCUGUAAAACAAGAAUGCUCUUCGUGGGAACUCAGAGAAUGGGCAUGUCAGGUAUUCAGAGCAGUCCUGUAGCCCAGAAAGCCUAAGUCAGUACUAUCAUGAUCAUGGAAGAGUAGAUUAUUGAAGCUGACUUAGAAGAACUGGAAAGACUUCUUGAAGGGCUUUAGAUUUCAGCUGAGCCUUGAAACAAGAGUUGUUAUUUUAAAACAGAAACAAAAAGGAAAAACUCCAAUAGUCUGGAUGCAGCCAACAAAGCACCUUCCAGACAACAGAAGCAGCUGGGAAAUGAAACAACAAACAAACAAGGCAAAGCCACAUCUCAGAACAGGGCAUGUUGUAUGGACUCAUGUACUUGGAAAGUGAGGUUCAGGGAAAUUCCAAGUGAAUGGCAGGAAAUAAAGCUGGAAACCUAAGGAAGGACUAGGCCCUAAGGCAGAGAGAGAUUCUUUAAGUACCUCAGCCCAUAGGGACAAAUCAUCGGUUUUCCUUUUACCUAAACGGAAACAUGUUUCUUGUCUUAGAGAAUUAUGUUUUCUUUUCGGUUUAUUUUCUAUUUUAAAUUUAAAAUUUGAAUUGUAAGCCUAUAGGAUCCCAAGAGUUCCAAACUCUAUAUUUUUCUUACUCCUUUAACUCUGCCUUCAGCAUAUGUCAUGGUAAAAUGUAAAUUAACCUAAAUCUAUACAAUAAAAAUAAAAUAAAAAUUAGACGGG